RNAcentral lists this long non-coding RNA (1274 nucleotides) under Pan troglodytes (chimpanzee). Its description in RNAcentral is "long non-coding RNA NONPTRT002774". Lineage: Eukaryota; Metazoa; Chordata; Mammalia; Primates; Hominidae. The record is from RNAcentral.
UGUGGAUGAGUGUGUAUACGUGUGAGUGUGUGCGUGUGUGGGUGUGUGGGACUGUGAGUGUGCAUGCAUAUGCGUAUGUCUUAGUGUGUAUGUAUGAGUGUGUGUGUGAGUGUGAUUGCCAUUUCUCAUCUUAUGAAGGAGGAAACAGGCACAGAGAAAGGUUGUGAGCUGGUCUCCCCUAGAUGUAAGAUAUGUGGCUUACCAGGCAGAGUUAGGCCUUUGACCUAAAAACAACCUCUUUGAUCUCAUUCUGUUGUCCUUUGCUGAUUUUUUUUCUCCAAGCUGAUCAUUAUACCUUAAAUGUCUUUGGCUGUAAGGGUGCUGUAAUUUAUGGAUGCCGUUCAGAUAUUUGAACAGAGAUGUCACAUACACCAUCAUAUUUUUAAGUUAGGAGGGAGAUUGGAGCUAGAGGUGCUGUAUUUAUUCAAGCAUUCACUAAAUACUUGCGAUGUGUCACAGAGGCAUAUACCAUGUGUUUGUUUUUACUACAACUGAAAUCCACCCCGACUUUCAUAUCAUGAUGACUUUGCUACUUUCUCUGCCUCAGAUGUUAUUUACACCCAACAAAUUCCUACUUCUAUUGGAGGCCCCAUUCCAAUAGCACCUCUGUAAAAACUCUUCUCUGUAGUAGGCAGAGUCCAUCAUAUUAUCUUUUCUGCCAAAGCAUCAUACUUUGCUACCUUCCAUACCACCCAGCAUGCUAUGAUUUGAAUGGCAGGUGACUGUCAAUACACCAGAAUAUUCCAAGCUCCCUCACCUCAGCAACCUGAGUAGCUGGUACUACAGGUAUGCACCACCAUGCCUGGCUAACUUUUUUAUUUUUUGUAGAGAGGGAGUCUUGCUACGUUGCUCAGGCUUGUCUUGAGACUGAGUCCCAGACAGAUACUGCCUGGCUUACUCUUCUUUUUGAGUUUGCCUGGGCUAUAAUCCUUUUCCUUGAUGUGAGAACAUGUUCCACAAAUGCAGAACUAUAAUGAGAAUUUUUGCCAAGAUUUUAUCCUGUAUAUGUUCACUUUUUUGGGAUAUGUUCCAAAACAAUUUUUUUUAACAGGAUAAUUUCUGGGGAGAAAGCUUACUGUGUUUAAAACCUGAAAUUUCAAGGGCAGAUGAAAGAUUUUUUUCAAGUUUAAUUUAUUGCCCUGAUUGGAACACUUCUGAAAAUGAAAGGGCAUGCUAUUAAAAAUUAUACUGGGACAACUUGGGUAAACUGGGACUCUCCUGGCUAAACUGUGUCCUAUGAUCACCCUAAUUGUAAAUCACCAUUGCCUCCUUGC